GGGGGCUGCAGCUCAGCUCCGGGGGGGACGCGCCUUUCUCCACGGGACCUGGGGCUCAGGUGCUCACGAGGCUGGGGCGCUGCAGGCCACCCGCAGGGGAAACUGAGGCCCUCCAUUUUGUGGGGCUGGAAGACCUUUCCUUCCAAAAGCAGGUGUAGGCGGGAGCACCUGUGCAGUCCCUCUGUUCAGAUCCUCACCCACUUUUAAAUCAGGAAACAGCAGAUGAAAUGCACAGUGUGAAGGACAAGGAUUCUGCUGAGAGAAUUGCUCCGAGGGUUGCUCAAGUGAUCAUGGGAAAUAAUGCAUCAAACCAUUCUUUAGAUGCAGCUCAGGUGUGCCUUUUCUUCGCCUGUGCCCAUCCACCUGAGAUGGACCAUAACCAUAAAAGUCAGAAGGCACUGACCCUUCAGGACGUGACAGGGUUAAAAGAUGCUGGAGGGAAAGUCUGUCAUUGACUUUUAUUCACUUCCUUUCUCCAUUCUGCCAUUUGGAAGAAGGAAGUUGGGGAUGAGAGAGGGGAAGGAGUAGCAUCUUGUUCCGUCGGCCUCCUUGAUCUAAGCCUUUGUUGUGAAUUCGUUUUUACCACAUUUAAAGUGUGAUGCCCAGAAUGGAACUCGGGGCUGCUGGCACCCCCAUCCAUCUUUGGAGGCCCUGGACAUAAUCGAUGGGGCAGGCAGAAGACCUGCAGCUCCAAGCCUGCUAGUCGGCUCAUUCUGGGUCUCCUGGAGGAUGCCAAGGUCCCUGGCCCUCUCAGAUCUCCUGGAGCCAUCUCACCUUCACAAGUUGAAUGCCCUCAUGGACCACUGAGUGAAUCCAGCGUAUCACCCUAGUCUACACUUUGGCCAUUCUCUUCAAAAUAAGGAGCCUGAUGUUUCACAAAACCAUCUGUUGCCCUCUUCUGUUAUUACAGCUGAAUGCUUCAGAAAUCAUUCUGCACCACUAAAAAUAAAAUCCACGUAGAACCUGAAAGAA
Molecule: long non-coding RNA, 972 nt
Filed under: Homo sapiens (human)
Lineage: Eukaryota; Metazoa; Chordata; Mammalia; Primates; Hominidae
Description: long intergenic non-protein coding RNA 2236
Source: RNAcentral